Molecule: long non-coding RNA, 3107 nt
Filed under: Sus scrofa (pig)
Lineage: Eukaryota; Metazoa; Chordata; Mammalia; Artiodactyla; Suidae
Description: lncRNA (ENSSSCG00000052890.1)
Source: RNAcentral
CCUUCAAUGCCAAAUGCUCUGGGGUCUCCUCUUCACAAUGCCAGACCAUCAAUCUGGGUAAUGUGAUGUGGAGCUCAGAACACUCACUCCUGUGGAAGAGCAUCUGUGAUGUAAUUAUUUUACAGUCUUAGGGUCACCUACACAGUGGGUAUGGAAUUUCCUAUAUCAUGCAAGUGCCCCUCCUAUUGUUCAAUGUGGCUUCUUCUUUGUCUUUGGGUGUGGGAUAUAAUUUCUGGUAAUUUCCAGUCUAUUUUAUUGAUAGUUGUUCAUCAGUUAAUUGUAAUUUUGUUGUUUUCAUGGGAGAAGGUGAGCUUAACUUCUUCUACCUUGCCAUCUUGUCCCCAGGUGUUCAUUAGAAUUUAAAAGCCAAAUUUCACCAUUUUAAAGAUUACAAUUCAGUGAUUUUUUAGUACGAGGUUAUACACAUAUUAUCACAGAUUCUAGAACAAUUUUACCAUCCCAAAAUAAGAUUUUUAUUUAUUAGCAGUUCCUUCCAAUCCCCCACCCCCUAUAAACCAUUCCUCUUUAUCUCUGUGAUUUUUCCUAUUCUAGACAUUUUAUGUAAGUGGAAUCAUAUAAGGAAGCCAUUCUUUAGCAGAAGCGACUAAAGCUGACACAUAAAAAAAGAGAGAGAGAAAGGAAGGAAGAGCAGAUUAACUCAUUUAACUUAUUUUAUCUAUAAGUCUUCCUAGACUCUCACCACUAGUCAGGAGGGAAAAAAUAUCCAGUAAUUUUAAAGAUUAGUCAAAUAUAAUGAUAUAAAACUUUGAUUCAGCAAAAGAUCAGGUUAUUUUGAAGAAAUUGGCAAAUCCUUGGUAAUAUGAAUCCUUCUUUGAUUUAGCAGACAGAGGCCAUGCUUUGGGAUCAGAGUAUACUAGAUUUAAAUCCAUGAUCUAUCAUCAACCAGCUACGUCACCUUGGGCUAGUCAUUUCCUUCCUUGAAUUCUCAAAUUUCUUUUUCUGAUAAGUCAGGAUAAUAAUUUACAGAGCUUUUGGAAAUAUUAAGUGAGAUUACAUAUGAGAAGAAUAUAAUACUCUUCCUGGAAUAGGUGAUACGUUCCAUCCCAGGCAUAUGAGGAAUGCACAAUCUACAGAAAAGAGUAAUUUCCCUUCUAUAGUGUGGAGAUAUUUCUGGGAGAAAGCUUCCCUACCAGUGACUAAAUUUUUCAACUUCACUUGUGUGAACUGGUGGUGAGCUACAUCUCUCUAGUGGUAUGUAAGUGCAUGGGAUGUGUAUUGCUCUGGGCAAGGUCUUUUUUUCUUUCCUUUUUUUUUCCUCUUAUUAUUUUGUAUUAUUUUAUCUUUAUUUUUUAUCACUUUAUUAUUAUGUAUUAUUAACCUGCUGACUUUUCGAAGUAUGUAUGAUGAUUGUGCUUACCUUUAGGUCUUUGUUGCUUAUCAGAUAUAUAUCACAUAAUUAAAAUUUUUUAUCUCUUUCAUACUAAACUUGGGAAAGUCUAUUUCCACAUAAAUGUCUAAGCACCACAACUGAUAUUAUUUUUAAGAGUACAGAGACUAAAUGAGCUUGGAAAAGAUGGCAGAAUAGCAAGAACUUGAAGCUCACCCUCUCUCAUAGGCACACCAAAAUCACAAAUAUUUGUAGAAAAACUGUUGAUGAGAAAGACUAAUAUAGCAGAAGAGAUCUUCUACAACUAAUAAUAUAAAGGAACCACAGCAGGACAGAUAGGAGGGAUAAGUCAUGGUAAAGUCAAGACCCAUACCACUGGUUGGGCAACCUGUAAGCAGAAGGAUAAUUACAAUUGCAUAAGUGCUCCGUAAUGAGCAGUAGGUUUGAACCCCACAUCAGGCUCUUCAAUCCAGGGUCUUCACACCAGGAACAUGAGCUCCCAGAGUGUUUGGCUUUGAAAGCUAGUAAGGCUUACUUUUAGAAGGUUCAGUGGAAAAUAGAGACUCUACUUUUAAAGGUCACAAAGAUCACACACUAAGGGACCCAGGGAAUGAGUGGCAAUUUUAAAGGGGCCUGGUCAGAUCCAAUUACUGGUCCAAUUGGACCUCUAGCCUGGCAACCUCCAUAUGCCAUGGGUACAACUCUAAAAAGACAAAAAAAGUUUCCUGGAGAGGCAAGAGAUAACUGCAGUUCACCCAGGGUACAUAGACAUGGCAGCAGUCAUUUGUGGGAACUCGUUCUACCACGUGGACAAUGAUAUUGAUGAGUGCCAUUUUUGGAUUCAUCCUUCUAGCUUUAUGGUACCAGGCUACAGGUAUCCCCACUAAUCAGCUUGUAGGCAUCAGUAUUGGGACACCUCAUGUCAAGACCCUGGAUCCACAACCACCCAACAAAGAAUCCAUAUCUGCCCACCAGCGAGCCAGCACUAGCCCCUUAACUCCCAGUCUCCACAGCCAGUUGCCUUAUGACAUGGCCCUACCAACCAGUGACUGACAAUCUCUGCCAAGGCAGAGCCUUGCAUAUAAUUAGACCAGAGGUCAGCCACACUACAAGACUGCCCACAGUAGUCAAGCUGCCACAAUAGAAGGACCCAUGCCACCCAUAUAGGGGGCAAUCUUAGAACAGAUAAUUCUGAUAACUAUAGGGGAGUGAAAUGCUGGGAUGCAUAGGAUGUUUCUCUCCAAGGUCAGAAAAUGUAACCAACCUACCAGAUAAAUAGAAUGAAAAUGGCACAUUAGGCAAAUGAGGUGACAGAGGAACACAUUUCAAACAAAGGAACAAGAUAAAACUCCAAGAGAAAAACUAAGUGAAGGGGAGAUAGGCAAUCUACCUGAUAAAGAGUUUAAGUUAUGGUCAUAAAAAUGAUCGAAGAGCACAGGAGAAAAAUGGAUAAACAUGGUGAGAAGUUACAAGUUUUAACAAAGAGAUAGAAAAAAAGAACAACUAAAUUGAAAUCAAGAAUACAAUAACUGGAAUUCCCAUUGUGGCAUAGCAGAAACAAAUCUGACUAGGAACCAUGAGGUUGUGGGUUUGAUCCUUGGCCUCGCUCAGUGGGUUAAGGAUCCAGUAUUGCCAUGAGCUUUGGUGUAUGUCGCAGAUGCGGCUCAGAUCUGGCAUUGCUGUGGCUCUGGCUUAGGCUGGCAGCUUUAGCUCUGAUUAGACCCCUAGCCUGGUAAUUGCCAUAUUCUGUGGGUGUGGC